Molecule: ribosomal RNA, 245 nt
Filed under: uncultured bacterium
Lineage: Bacteria
Description: partial 16S ribosomal RNA
Rfam family: Bacterial small subunit ribosomal RNA
Source: RNAcentral
UAGUCCACGCCCUAAACGAUGCAUAUUUGGUGUGGGCCAUUCAUUUGGUCCGUGCCGGAGCUAACGCGUUAAAUAUGCCGCCUGGGGAGUACAGUCGCAAGGCUGAAACUCAAAGGAAUUGACGGGGGCCCGCACAAGCGGUGGAGCAUGUGGUUUAAUUCGACGCAACGCGAAGAACCUUACCUGGGCUCGAAAUGCUGUGGCCAGUCUGUGAAAGCAGGCCUUCCCGCAAGGGACCGCAGUAU